AACGAACGCUGGCGGCAGGCCUAACACAUGCAAGUCGAACGCCGUAGCAAUACGGAGUGGCAGACGGGUGAGUAACGCGUGGGAACAUACCCCUCGGUUCGGAAUAACUCAGGGAAACUUGAGCUAAUACCGGAUACGUCCGAGGUUUUGAUCGACCUUGGAGAAAGAUUUAUCGCCGAAGGAUUGGCCCGCGUCUGAUUAGCUUGUUGGUGAGGUAAUGGCUCACCAAGGCGACGAUCAGUAGCUGGUCUGAGAGGAUGAUCGGCCACAUUGGGACUGAGACACGGCCCAAACUCCUACGGGAGGCAGCAGGUGGGGAAUAUUGGACAAUGGGCGAAAGCCUGAUCCAGCCAUGCCGCGUGAGUGAUGAAGGCCUGG
Molecule: ribosomal RNA, 378 nt
Filed under: uncultured bacterium
Lineage: Bacteria
Description: bacterial SSU rRNA
Rfam family: Bacterial small subunit ribosomal RNA
Source: RNAcentral